Rhodamnia argentea is the source of this 1003-nucleotide long non-coding RNA. RefSeq lists it as uncharacterized. The transcript has 2 exons. Lineage: Eukaryota; Viridiplantae; Streptophyta; Magnoliopsida; Myrtales; Myrtaceae. The record is from RefSeq and is a predicted model, not a curated record.
GACUGAUUACUCUAUGCUCUUGCUGUCGAUUUGGUUUCUUCAUGUAAUUUUCUACCGUCCCUUUGUACUGUUGUGCUGAAUGCUCUUUGCCGCUCCUUGUCUCAAAGAGAGUUAUUGGAUUUAGUAAGUCUUUGCAACUGAAAGAAGAGCCUUGGCACAACGGUUGGGAUCCCUAAGGUUCUAGCUGGUGACCUGCUUUUUCUCAGUUUUUGGAGCUUACAAGCAUGCAACGGGAGGCUGUACUCUCACUGCCUCUUUUCGCUCCUGAGACAGUCAAAUUGAGUUCAGUACCAUUUCCUCCUGUUUCGGUCAACCAGGUCGUGCAACUCCUAGAACGGGUUCCUUAUGCGUUAAAUUAGUCUUGCCAUUUCAAGUUUCUUUAUGUUGAGCUGUGGAUACACAAGUACUCCAUGCUUCUCCCCGGGAGGAUUCUGUCAAGUUGCAUAAUGUGCAAAGGGCACUGUGUUUACGACAGUACAGCUAUGCUUACGCGGUGAAGUGCCGUCUGAGACGCCCAAGCAUAAUAUGGGAGUUACAAACUCUGAUCAAAAACCAUACGCUAACCGGGAGUGGAGAGUUUUACUACACACCGGAGCUUGUACACUCCAAUUCUCUUGCCAGGAGGAUGUUAAGGGCUGCUAAGUUUGCGCAUAUGGGUAAAACGAUGGUUCAUUCAUGUAACUAGAGCCUUAAAACUGUACCGGUUUUCACAUUUGUGCUGUAUAUUUGAUGACAAAUACCCUUUCUUUUUACCUACGUACCUUGGCAAGUUAAUUUUCAAAAGAUGAAUGGUGAUGUUUCUGGCGGCGGCCUCUUAAAUAAAUGUUCUUAUACUUGCACAAGGGAAUGCAAUGUUUCUUGUACCGAGAGGGAUUUCCGGGUCAUGAGGCUGAUUUAUCUCCAGAUUCUACACAAAAUAGUGCUUAGCACAGUUACUGCAGAGUCUACUAGUGGAUACUGCUGUCGUGAUUCUUUUGUACUGAGGGGUGUCCAAGAAUGUUGA